AGAGGAUAGCAUUGCAGGAUGGACGGUAGACUUCCAAUCCUCCUGUUACUCGUGUGGCACGCCCUCGUCACCCAGGGACGCCAUGCCAGAGAAGCUGCAGGAUGUGGAUUCAACGGACAGGUUUACCUAAAUGGCCAGAAAUUACCUGGAUGUCUUGGCGUGUAUUGCAGCCAAGGAGCGUGGAUUCCAAAUGGAAAAGUUAGCCCAGACUAUACAGAGAUGCGCAACUUCACUGAGCAUCUGGGCACCCAGAGAGUUCCAGAAAUCAUUGUUCGGUCUAUGCGGCUACUACGACGGUGAACCCGCCAACGACUUCACCAAGCGGGAUCUUUCCUCGUCUCCCUCGCAAACUUUCCUGACAGAUGUCGAGUUCCUUGAGUCA
Long non-coding RNA from Macrobrachium nipponense, 382 nucleotides. RefSeq lists it as uncharacterized. The transcript has 3 exons. NCBI's taxonomy places the organism in Eukaryota, Metazoa, Arthropoda, Malacostraca, Decapoda, Palaemonidae. The record is from RefSeq and is a predicted model, not a curated record.